GCGACCACUACACUGCAUCAACAUUACCGCCAUUGUAAACCCUAAACCGAAACCACAAACCACCCUUGGACAUGGUUUGAAUAGUUUCUGGAACCAGUUUGGGUUUGAGAAUAACAAACGGCAAACCAGUUUAGGUUCGAAACUAGUUUCAAACUGGUUCUCAUUAACAAAUGGAAAGUUUAACAAACUAAAACUGGUUUUGCACUAACUAAUACGCC
This 218-nucleotide long non-coding RNA is filed under the name Mytilus galloprovincialis (Mediterranean mussel). The record is from RNAcentral. Lineage: Eukaryota; Metazoa; Mollusca; Bivalvia; Mytilida; Mytilidae.